UACGGAGGAUGCGAGCGUUAUCCGGAUUUAUUGGGUUUAAAGGGUGCGUAGGCGGGAUGCCAAGUCAGCGGUAAAAAUGCGGUGCUCAACGCCGUCGAGCCGUUGAAACUGGCGUUCUUGAGUGGGCGAGAGGUAUGCGGAAUGCGCGGUGUAGCGGUGAAAUGCAUAGAUAUCACGCAGAACUCCGAUUGCGAAGGCAGCAUACCGGCGCCCUACUGACGCUGAGGCACGAAAGCGUGGGUAUCGAACAGG
This 252-nucleotide ribosomal RNA is filed under the name uncultured bacterium. RNAcentral's name for it is "partial 16S ribosomal RNA". It matches the Rfam family "Bacterial small subunit ribosomal RNA", at positions 524 to 776 of the family's 1533-position model. The record is from RNAcentral.